This 296-nucleotide unclassified non-coding RNA is filed under the name Hevea brasiliensis (rubber tree). Lineage: Eukaryota; Viridiplantae; Streptophyta; Magnoliopsida; Malpighiales; Euphorbiaceae. The record is from RNAcentral.
GCUUGAUAUUCUCAAUCAUCCAUUCUGUGUAAUCAAGACAAAAUAAUCACAACACCAAAGCAAAUUUCACCUCUAAGAAAUGAUUUAACCCUAACAGUAAAAAGGGCAAAAAUGAAAAAUGUAAGUUCCAAAAGAUGACUAAUUUGACCCUAAUAACUAAAACUUUUUACACUUCCAAAUUGCCGAAAAAAUCAAUCGAUAUUCCAAUUAUCAUACUCUUCGCCGGCCAUCGGAGUAUUGAGAAAGAGGGACGACCUCCGACAACGGCGUAGAUAACGGCGUCGGCAACGGCGAAU